This 451-nucleotide ribosomal RNA is filed under the name uncultured bacterium. Its description in RNAcentral is "bacterial SSU rRNA". It matches the Rfam family "Bacterial small subunit ribosomal RNA", at positions 945 to 1397 of the family's 1533-position model. The record is from RNAcentral.
UUUAAUUCGAUGGUAAGCGAAGAACCUUACCAGGGCUUGAAAUGAAUAGGACAGUCUGUGAAAGCAGAUCUCCCUUCGGGGUCUAUUUAUAGGUGUUGCAUGGUUGUCGUCAGCUCGUGCCGUGAGGUGUUGGGUUAAGUCCCGCAACGAGCGCAACCCUUGUUUAUAGUUGCCAUCAUUUAGUUGGGCACUCUAUAGAGACUGCCAGCGUUAAGCUGGAGGAAGGUGGGGAUGACGUCAAAUCAUCACGGCCCUUAUGUCCUGGGCUACACACAUGCUACAAUGGGUAGUACAAAGGGUUACGAAGCAGUGAUGUGGAGUUAAUCUCAAAGAGCUAUCCUCAGUUCGGAUUGUAGGCUGAAACCCGCCUACAUGAAGUUGGAAUCGCUAGUAAUCGCAGGUCAGCCAUACUGCGGUGAAUACGUUCUCGGUCCUUGUACACACCGCCCGU